RNAcentral lists this ribosomal RNA (1252 nucleotides) under uncultured marine eukaryote. RNAcentral describes it as "SSU rRNA". It matches the Rfam family "Eukaryotic small subunit ribosomal RNA", at positions 384 to 1806 of the family's 1831-position model. The record is from RNAcentral.
CGGAGAGGGCGCAUGAGAAACGGCUACCACAUCUACGGAUGGCAGCAGGCGCGCAAAUUACCCAAUGCAGACACUGUGAGGUAGUGACGAGAAAUAAUAAAGCGGGACUUCUGUUUCGCUAUUAUAAUGAGGAAUAACCAAAGGUCAUUCCGAUUAGCAACUGAUGGGAAAGUCUGGUGCCAGCAGCCGCGGUAAUACCAGCGUCAGUAGCAUAUAUUAAAAUUGUUGCAGUUAAAACGUCCGUAGUCUGUACGUCGUCCCAAACUCACUGCAGUCUUCCGUUUUCUUAAUUGAAUGCGGUAGUUUCUGCAGUCACUCCCUUGAUCAAAUUAGGUUGUUCAAGGUAGACCAAGUCUUCAUAUUUUCACAUGGAAUUGGGUGAGGGAACUUAAGAGUUUAAGUUUCUCGUCUUAGGAUCAUCCGGGGUCAUUCGUACUCGUCCGCGAGAGGUGAAAUUCUUGGACCGGACGAAGACGACCAGCAGCGAAAGCAUCUGUCAGGGAUGUUUUCUGCGACAAAGGACGAAGGUCAGGGUAUCGAAGACGAUUAGAUACCGUCGUAGUCCUGACUGUAAACUAUGCCAACUUGGGUCUUGCUGGGCGAUGCUUUGUGAGACCCACACAGAAAUGAAAGUGUAUGGGUUCUGGGGGUAGUAUGGACACAAGUCUGAAACUUGAAGGAAUUGACGGAAGAGCACCAUAAGACGUGGAGCUUGCGGCUUAAUUUGACUCAACGCGGGAAAACUUACCAGGUCAAGACAUGGGCGUGAUUGACAGGCUAAUGACUUUUCUCGAUUCCAUGGAUGGUGGUGCAUGGUCGCACUUAGUUGGUGCAGUGAUUUGUCAGGUUUAUUCCGGUAACGAACGAGACCUCGGCCUUGUAAAUAGCUAUGCUGCUUACAGGGACAUUGGCGGCUACGCCAAGGAAGCUCGAGGCAAUUGCAGAUCUGGAAUGCCCUUAGAUGUCCUGGGUCGCACGCGUGCUACAAUGACGCCACGAACGAGCUUGCAUGAUGAAAGUUAUGCAUAAUCAGCAGUCGGCGUCUUAAGGGAUAGUCUCUUGUAACUGUGGGACUCCAACUAGGAAUGUCUCGUAAGCACAAGUCAACAUCUUGUGUUGAUUACGUCCCUGCUCUUUGUACACACCGCCCGUCGCUCCUACCGAUCGUGUGUUUAGGUGAAUUUGAUGGACGUAAGGAAGUCAAAUAAACCUGAGCACUUAGAGGAAGGAGAAGUCGUAACAAGGUAGCCGU